UAAGCGGAGGAGAAGAAACUAACGAGGAUUUCCCUAGUAACGGCGAGCGAACCGGAAAGAGCCCAGCUUGAAAAUCGCGGCGCUGCGCGGCGCGAGUUGUAGUCUGGAGAAGCAUCCUCUGCAGUGCACCGGACCCAAGUUCCCUGGAAAGGGACGUCAGAGAGGGUGACAACCCCGUCGAGUCCGGACCCCGUGCUGCUCCACGAGGUGCUGUCGUCGAGUCGAGCUGUUUGGGAAUGCAGCUCUAAGUGGGUGGUAAAUUCCAUCCAAGGCUAAAUAUGGGCAGGAGACCGAUAGCGAACAAGUACCGCGAGGGAAAGAUGAAAAGGACUUUGAAAAGAGAGUUAAAGAGUGCUUGAAAUUGCUGGGAGGGAAGCGAAUGGAAGCUGCGGGUGUGGCCCGGUUGGAUGUGGAACGGCCCCGGGAAGGGGGCUGGUCCGCCGCUCAACGCGGGGCACUGGUCAGCGUGGGCCACCGCGGCGGGACAAGAGCGGGGUGUAGUUCCCCGCCCAUGCCGUUGUGGUGGCCGAGGAACGAAGCGUGCGCCCCCCUCCCCCCGUGGGAGCGGGGCGUGGACUCCCCCGUCGGGGUCCAACUGCGCGCUCGGGACGCUGGCGUAUUGAGCUCUUCAUCCGACCCGUCUUGAAACACGGACCAAGGAGUCUAACAUGUAUGCGAGCCGGUGGGCGGCAAACCCAUUGAGGCGCAAGUAAACUGACAGGUGGGACCCCUCUUAUGACAAGGGAGCACCAUCGACCGACCGUGAUCUUCUGUGAAAGGUUUGAGUGUGAGCAUACCUGUUGGGACCCGAAAGAUGGUGAACUAUGCCUGAGCAGGGCGAAGCCAGAGGAAACUCUGGUGGAGGCUCGUAGCGAUACUGACGUGCAAAUCGUUCGUCAGACUUGGGUAUAGGGGCGAAAGACUAAUCGAACCAUCUAGUAGCUGGUUCCCUCCGAAGUUUCCCUCAGGAUAGCUGGAGCUCGCGUGACAGUUUUAUCAGGUAAAGCGAAUGAUUAGAGGCAUCGGGGGUGUAACACCCUCGACCUAUUCUCAAACUUUAAAUAGGUAAGCCGCCGGGGUUGCUUGGCUGAACCCCGGCACAGAAUGAGAGC
RNAcentral lists this ribosomal RNA (1112 nucleotides) under Cladopodanthus speciosus. Its description in RNAcentral is "eukaryotic LSU rRNA". It matches the Rfam family "Eukaryotic large subunit ribosomal RNA", at positions 47 to 1120 of the family's 3401-position model. Lineage: Eukaryota; Viridiplantae; Streptophyta; Bryopsida; Dicranales; Leucobryaceae. The record is from RNAcentral.